CCUACGGGUGGCAGCAGUGAGGAAUAUUGGUCAAUGGACGAGAGUCUGAACCAGCCAAGUAGCGUGAAGGAUGACUGCCCUAUGGGUUGUAAACUUCUUUUAUAUGGGAAUAAAAUGUUCCACGUGUGGGAUUUUGUAUGUACCAUAUGAAUAAGGAUCGGCUAACUCCGUGCCAGCAGCCGCGGUAAUACGGAGGAUCCGAGCGUUAUCCGGAUUUAUUGGGUUUAAAGGGAGCGUAGGUGGAUUGUUAAGUCAGUUGUGAAAGUUUGCGGCUCAACCGUACAAGUGCAGUUGAAACUGGCAGUCUUGAGUACAGUAGAGGUGGGCGGAAGUCGUGGUGUAGCGGUGAAAUGCUUAGAUAUCACGAAGAACUCCGAUUGCGAAGGCAGUUCACUGGACUGCAACUGACACUGAGGCUCGAAAGUGUGGGUAUCAAACAGGAUUAGAUACCCGAGUAGUC
Molecule: ribosomal RNA, 460 nt
Filed under: uncultured bacterium
Lineage: Bacteria
Description: partial 16S ribosomal RNA
Rfam family: Bacterial small subunit ribosomal RNA
Source: RNAcentral